Molecule: non-coding RNA, 1166 nt
Organism: Drosophila melanogaster (fruit fly)
Lineage: Eukaryota; Metazoa; Arthropoda; Insecta; Diptera; Drosophilidae
Source: Ensembl
UUUUUCAUUUCAUCAAUAACAGUAGUAUUUUUAUUUAAAAGUUUUAACAAAGCCGUACACGAACAUUUUACAAUGGGUCAUAAGCUAAACCAGAAGGACAUCACAUGGACUUAAAGUUAGAUUACGGGCUCUGUGAUCGCGUAACAAAAUCCUGCUCCUGCGCCGCACAAUUUCACUGGUGGCAGUUGUAAAAGAGUUGGGGUGCAACUGGAAAAGUAAAUUAAUUUCCCAUGCUCGUUCCAUCCCCAGGUGUAGACCUCUCCUGCCGUAGUCCUCAGUAGACCGUGCUCGGCGCCCAUGUGAAUUCUGGCAGGACCCUGAUCCUCAGGAAGCUUCAGGCGAAGUGGCGUGGGUAUUGCCUGCUGUUCGCUGAACGAACCCAUUCCCAGCUGACCGUAGCAAUUGCGACCCCAUACGAGGAUCUCGUUGUUUUUGAGCACAGCUGCAUUGUGGGUCCAACCCACGGCCAACUGACGCACAUCCUCCUCAAACUGAAAGGCGUUGGACUGGCCAAACUUGUUGUCACCCAAGGUGAGCUUGUUUUAAUUACACCGAAAUCACGGCGCUAGAAAAUCGGAGCUACACAAAUGGGCAACUGGCGCUAACAGCAGGACAUUACAAAGCUGCAACGUUCGCCUGGCAUGCUAUGUGGCCAGGACCUCCUCGUCCUCCUGGAAAGUCAACCCCUCUCACGUGAAGAAUGCACUGUGGUCCGCAUUUGCAAUUCAAAAAUUGCCUGGCACACACAAAGGGUGAGCGCCCCUAAACGCUAGAAAUGAAAACUGAUGAUUUUCACUUGAUAUCCGCAAACGAAGAAAAGCCAUGCAAGAAAGACUGCUGCUCCACAUGCAAUCGAAGGUGCCCAAAGGUGAUGGAAGUGGAAAUCCGUUUGAAUUGCAAUAGCAGUCAAUUAAACCACAGGGAAUUAACAUGUUCGCCGUCAAAUUAGAAUCGGAAAAUCCAGAGGAAGAUGGGUAAAAAUAGACUACAAAUUUAAAUUGCAGGAUAUUCAAAAGUCGCCUUGGCAAACAUCCAUUUUUAGCGAGUCCAGUAUGAACUGUUAUCCAUUUCUUGGCGCGAAUAUGACGGCUUAUACGAGGACUUCCGCUGUACUGUGGUCAACUCGGAAAUAUAUGACGGGAAAUCCCCAUAAAGCUAUAAGCAAU